Lentinula lateritia is the source of this 108-nucleotide non-coding RNA. NCBI's taxonomy places the organism in Eukaryota, Fungi, Basidiomycota, Agaricomycetes, Agaricales, Omphalotaceae. The record is from the annotation of a GenBank genome assembly.
GGUUCGAUGGCGUAGUUGGUUUAUCGCAUCUGUCUAACAUAGACUCACAAUGAUCGAGUGGCGAAAAUGUUUCACAGAAGGUCCCCGGUUCGAGCCCGGGUCGAAUCA